RNAcentral lists this ribosomal RNA (571 nucleotides) under Sphaerodes retispora. Its description in RNAcentral is "partial 28S ribosomal RNA". It matches the Rfam family "Eukaryotic large subunit ribosomal RNA", at positions 38 to 625 of the family's 3401-position model. The record is from RNAcentral. Lineage: Eukaryota; Fungi; Ascomycota; Sordariomycetes; Coronophorales; Ceratostomataceae. RNAcentral also lists the same sequence under 3 other names.
GCAUAUCAGUCAGCGGAGGAAAAGAAAGCAACUGCGAUUGCCCUAGUAACGGCGAGUGAAGCGGCAGCAGCCCAGAUUUGGAAUCUGGCCCCCUUGCGGGGCCCGAGUUGUAAUCUGCAGAGGAAGCGUCUGGCGCGGCGCCGGCCUAGUUCCCUGGAACGGGACGCCGUAGAGGGUGACAGCCCCGUACGGUCGGCCGCCAAGCCUGUGUGUCGCUCCUUCGAAGAGUCGCGUAGUUUGGGAAUGCUGCGCAAAGUGGGAGGUAUGCUCCUCCUAAGGCUAAAUACCGGCCAGAGACCGAUAGCGCACAAGUAGAGUGAUCGAAAGAUGAAAAGUACCUUGAAAAUGGGGUUAAACAGUACGUGAAAUUGCCAAAGGGGAAGCGCUCGUGGCCAGACUCGCGCCCGGCGGAUCAUCCGGCUCUCCCGCCGGUGCACUCUGCCGGGCUCGGGCCAGCGUCGGUCGGCGCCGGUACUGAAAGGCGGUGCGAACGUGGCUCCCUUCGGGGAGUGUUAUAGCGCGCCGCGUAAUGUGCUGGUGCCGUCCGAGGACCGCGCUUUAUGCAAGGACG